GGAUGAACGCUGGCGGCGUGCCUAAUACAUGCAAGUCGAGCGAACAGACGAGGAGCUUGCUCCUCUGAUGUUAGCGGCGGACGGGUGAGUAACACGUGGAUAACCUACCUAUAAGACUGGGAUAACUUCGGGAAACCGGAGCUAAUACCGGAUAACAUGUUGAACCGCAUGGUUCAACAGUGAAAGACGGUCUUGCUGUCACUUAUAGAUGGAUCCGCGCCGCAUUAGCUAGUUGGUAAGGUAACGGCUUACCAAGGCAACGAUGCGUAGCCGACCUGAGAGGGUGAUCGGCCACACUGGAACUGAGACACGGUCCAGACUCCUACGGGAGGCAGCAGUAGGGAAUCUUCCGCAAUGGGCGAAAGCCUGACGGAGCAACGCCGCGUGAGUGAAGAAGGUCUUCGGAUCGUAAAACUCUGUUAUUAGGGAAGAACAAAUGUGUAAGUAACUAUGCACGUCUUGACGGUACCUAAUCAGAAAGCCACGGCUAACUACGUG
Molecule: ribosomal RNA, 498 nt
Filed under: uncultured bacterium
Lineage: Bacteria
Description: partial 16S ribosomal RNA
Rfam family: Bacterial small subunit ribosomal RNA
Source: RNAcentral